CUCCGCUCUUCCCAGAGCAGAGUGCAUUUGUUCGCCACAAAACCAAGCGCCCCCAGGGCGUUCUGUGUUGACUCAGAACAACUAAGCUGAUCGCACGGUCUUGCACCGGCGACGUGUCUUUCAAGUGUCUGCCUUAUCAACUUUCGAUGAUGGUGUAUCUGACCACCAUGGUGAUGACGGGUAACGGAGGAUCAGGGUUCGACUCCGGAGAGGGCGCCUGAGAAAUGGCGACCACGUCUAAGGAUGGCAGCAGGCGCGCAAAUUACCCACUCUCGACUAGAGGAGGUAGUGACGAGAAAUAACGAGACUGUUCUCGAUUGAGGCCAGUUAUCGGAAUGGGUACAAUUCAAAACCUUUAACGAGUAUCUAUGAGAGGGCAAGUCUGGUGCCAGCAGCCGCGGUAAUUCCAGCUCUCAAAAUGCAUAGAAUUAUUGCUGCGGUUAAAAAGCUCGUAGUUGGAUCUGUGCUAGGUGUCCGGUCUGCCCUCUGGGUAUGCACUGGUGCACCCGGCUUUCCCGCCGGUCUCUCCCUGAUGUUGGCUUUAACCGGCUGGCAUUAGUGGGCUGGCAACUUUACUUUGAACAAAUCAGAGUGCUUCAAACAGGCGUCUCGCCUGAAUGUUCGUGCAUGGAAUAAUAGAAGAGGAUCACGGUCCGAUUUUAUUGGUUUUGCUGACCGAGAUAAUGGUUAACAGAGACAAACGGGGCCAUUCGUAUUGCUACGUGAGAGGUGAAAUUCUUGGACCGUAGCAAGACGGACUACAGCGAAAGCAUUUGGCAAGAAUGUCUUCAUUAAUCAAGAACGAAAGUCAGAGGUUCGAAGGCGAUCAGAUACCGCCCUAGUUCUGACCGUAAACGAUGCCAACUAGCGAUCCGCCAGUCGACUCAUCGCUCUGGUGGGGAGCUUCCCGGAAACGAAAGUCUUCCGGUUCCGGGGGAAGUAUGGUUGCAAAGCUGAAACUUAAAGGAAUUGACGGAAGGGCACCACCAGGAGUGGAGCCUGCGGCUUAAUUUGACUCAACACGGGGAAACUCACCCGGCCCGGACACCGUAAGGAUUGACAGAUUGAUAGCUUUUUCAUGAUUCGGUGGAUGGUGGUGCAUGGCCGUUCUUAGUUCGUGGAGCGAUUUGUCUGGUUUAUUCCGAUAACGAGCGAGACUCUGGCCUACUAAAUAGUUGACGCAUUGCCACUGUGCGCACAACUUCUUAGAGGGAUUUUCGGUGUUUUCAACCGCACGAAAUUGAGCAAUAACAGGUCUGUGAUGCCCUUAGAUGUCCGGGGCUGCACGCGCGCUACACUGGCAAACGCAACGUGCCUGUCCUGCCCCGAAAGGAGCGGGUAAACCCCUGAAAUUUUGCCGUGAUUGGGAUCGGACAUUGCAACUAUUGUCCGUGAACGAGGAAUUCCUUGUAGGGGCGAGUCAUCAACUCGUCCCGAAUACGUCCCUGCCCUUUGUACACACCGCCCGUCGCUGCCCGGGACUGAGCCAUUUCAAGAAAACCGGGGAUUGAUGGCCUAACGACUCUUCGGGGUCCGCUGGCCGUUAAAAACCGGCUUAAUUGCAAUGGUUUGAACCGGGCAAAAGUCGUAACAAGGUAGCUGUAGGUGAACCUGCUGCUG
This 1620-nucleotide ribosomal RNA is filed under the name Rotylenchulus reniformis. Its description in RNAcentral is "SSU rRNA". It matches the Rfam family "Eukaryotic small subunit ribosomal RNA", at positions 181 to 1823 of the family's 1831-position model. Lineage: Eukaryota; Metazoa; Nematoda; Chromadorea; Rhabditida; Hoplolaimidae. The record is from RNAcentral.